This is a small nucleolar RNA of Larimichthys crocea (large yellow croaker), 127 nucleotides long. Its record names the gene SNORA71. It matches the Rfam family "Small nucleolar RNA SNORA71". Rfam says of the family: The members of this family belong to the H/ACA class of snoRNAs which bind a number of proteins (including dyskerin, Gar1p and Nop10p) to form snoRNP complexes. This class of snoRNAs are thought to guide the sites of modification of uridines to pseudouridines by forming direct base pairing interactions with substrate RNAs. The record is from Ensembl. NCBI's taxonomy places the organism in Eukaryota, Metazoa, Chordata, Actinopteri, Sciaenidae.
CCCUGUAUCGAAAGUGACCAUGGCGUCCUCGUCGUCAGGUCAUUGAUAGUACAGGAAGAUGAAGCUGAGAGCCUUUCCCGUGUUUGAAGGACUUCCUGUUCCUGUCAGACCCUGGCGCUCUCACACA